AUACUUACCUGGCAAAGGAGAUACCGUGAUCAAGAGGGCGGUUCACCCAGAUCGAGGCUCAGCCAUUGCACUCCGGCUGUGCUGACCCCUGCGAAUUUCCCAAAUGUGGAAAUCUCGAUUGCAGAAUUUCUGGUAUUGGGGACUGCGUUCGCACUCUCCCCUG
This 163-nucleotide small nuclear RNA is filed under the name Hucho hucho (huchen). Its description in RNAcentral is "U1 spliceosomal RNA (ENSHHUG00000018106.1)". It matches the Rfam family "U1 spliceosomal RNA". Rfam says of the family: U1 is a small nuclear RNA (snRNA) component of the spliceosome (involved in pre-mRNA splicing). Its 5' end forms complementary base pairs with the 5' splice junction, thus defining the 5' donor site of an intron. The record is from Rfam by way of RNAcentral. Lineage: Eukaryota; Metazoa; Chordata; Actinopteri; Salmoniformes; Salmonidae.